Small nucleolar RNA from Ornithorhynchus anatinus (platypus), 138 nucleotides. The record is from RefSeq and is a predicted model, not a curated record. NCBI's taxonomy places the organism in Eukaryota, Metazoa, Chordata, Mammalia, Monotremata, Ornithorhynchidae.
CACCUCUCAGGGUUGCACCUGGAGAGUUCCCAGUCCUCUACCAGUCUCUACUACGGGAGGGAGAGUCAAGCAGAGACCUGUCCAUUCCUUUCCUAGUUUGGGCAGUGGCUACGGAGGGGAAGGCAAUCUGCUACAAGU